This 62-nucleotide transfer RNA is filed under the name Dreissena polymorpha. RNAcentral's name for it is "tRNA-Gly". Lineage: Eukaryota; Metazoa; Mollusca; Bivalvia; Myida; Dreissenidae. The record is from RNAcentral.
GUGCAGGUGGUCGAGUGGUAACACUCUGGUCUACCAUUCCAGAGGUUCAAUUCCCUGGUCCG